UUGAAGCUGGGUUGGAAGCUGUUCUACCCUGAGCGGGAGUUCGACCGACCUUUGGGUCAUCCUUGGUUGGCUUUGGGAAGCCUUUAGAGACUUAAUUGGAGCAGCAUUGGGGCUUCGUUGAGCCGUUUGUGGGACUUCUUG
Molecule: long non-coding RNA, 141 nt
Organism: Ananas comosus (pineapple)
Lineage: Eukaryota; Viridiplantae; Streptophyta; Magnoliopsida; Poales; Bromeliaceae
Exons: 3
Source: RefSeq, a predicted model, not a curated record